RNAcentral lists this unclassified non-coding RNA (274 nucleotides) under Hevea brasiliensis (rubber tree). The record is from RNAcentral. Lineage: Eukaryota; Viridiplantae; Streptophyta; Magnoliopsida; Malpighiales; Euphorbiaceae.
GUUCCAGAAACAGGUACUAGAAGGAAAGCUAGAAGAUGAGAAGAAAGAACUAGCAAAUGGAUCAGACAAUGCACUGGAUGUCGUGGGUGAUGUGGCCCAGGAAUCCAUUUCAACUUCCCAGUCCAAUGGGGACUUGAAGCAUUCUGAAAAUGGGCCAGUUGCUAAAGCUGGAGAUGCCUCAAGUAAGCCACUUGCCUCAGACAAGCAGAAUGUAGCAGAUGGGAUUCUCAGUGUUUGCUAGAUGUUACCAUUCCCAGUAGUAGGGGAUUUUUUU